AAAAAUUUUUAUAAAUUAUAUUUAAAUUACAAAAAGUGGAUUUUAUAUAAAUUCAAAUGAAUACGUUUCGAAAAAUCGGGAUUUCAAAAUUUCUUUUGUGCAGUGUUUAAACUACAAAAAAAUGGAUAAACAAACUGAAGAUGAGCCUAAACUUUUAAACGUUUCAGAAAAUGCACCUCCUCAACCAACUACGUCUGAACGUCUUAAUGACCUCAUCAAGUAUUUUGAGGAACGCAUUGCGGCUAAUGUUGAGGAGUAUCAAUUGGACAAACAAAGAUUUAUUAAACAAAAUGAACAAUUCCGAAAGACUAAACGUAAAAUAUCGUACUCUGAGGUUCAGCAGGACAUAACUAAAAAGGAAGAAUGAAGCCUCAAAAAAACUACCAAUACGCGAUUAAGAGCUCAUAAGAAAUUUCUUCUGUUCUGGGUUUUUUUGAACAUUAUUGUUAGUUAUUACUUAUGCGAUAUAAUUAUUGUAAUACGUGAAACAGUUCCAGGACUGAUCAUUUUCCGUGACCUUCUGGAUCUGCGAGUAAACACUUAAAAACUAUUUAACACCGUAAAGUGGGAAAGAGACCAAGAAGCACAUACUCCUAUACUAAACAUCGAAUAUAAAUAAAAACUUAAUCGAGGUUUGAUGCAAGUGCUAAUAACGGAUUAUGUUAUAGUAUCUGCUAAGCAUUUAAUUUGAUAAUAUUUGUGAGAAAUAUUUAUUUAAAAAUAUCUGUCAGUUCCAGGUUUAUUCACUUCCAGUGAGCUUGUUGAUCUGAAAAAAAGCUCAUCAACACCAAACUUGCAAGUAGAAAUUAAAUACUGAAAAUGCUACAUAAAUAAAAAAUUAACCCAAGUUUGGUGCUUUCUGUGCAAUAUUGGACACUUCCGAGAGUGGAAGGAAGACUUAAGUUCUAGAAUUCAUCACUUCUAGAGAUCUUGUUGAUCUGAAGCUCAUCAACAUCGAACUUAAAAGCAGGAAUUGAAUACAGAAGGUGGUACACAAAUAAAAACUUACAUUGGUUUUGGAACUUUCUAUACAAUUUUGGACACUUGCGGGAGUGGAAGGAAGACUUAAGAUAAUACCAGUGUGAUGUAAUUAUUGUAAUAGAUGCGCCAGUACCAAGACUGAUCAUUUGCUAUACCUUCUUGAUCUGAGAGUUAAGACAAAGAAACUCAUUAACAUUAAACUUUUAAAGUUGGAUCUUGUUGGAUACUUGAGUAAACUUAAGAUUUGGUC
Teleopsis dalmanni is the source of this 1231-nucleotide long non-coding RNA. RefSeq lists it as uncharacterized. Lineage: Eukaryota; Metazoa; Arthropoda; Insecta; Diptera; Diopsidae. The record is from RefSeq and is a predicted model, not a curated record. The transcript is spliced from 5 exons.